AUUGAACGCUGGCGGCAGGCCUAACACAUGCAAGUCGAGCGGAUGAAGGGAGCUUGCUCCUGGAUUCAGCGGCGGACGGGUGAGUAAUGCCUAGGAAUCUGCCUGGUAGUGGGGGAUAACGUCCAGAAACGGGCGCUAAUACCGCAUACGUCCUGAGGGAGAAAGUGGGGGAUCUUCGGACCUCACGCUAUCAGAUGAGCCUAGGUCGGAUUAGCUAGUUGGUGGGGUAAAGGCCUACCAAGGCGACGAUCCGUAACUGGUCUGAGAGGAUGAUCAGUCACACUGGAACUGAGACACGGUCCAGACUCCUACGGGAGGCAGCAGUGGGGAAUAUUGGACAAUGGGCGAAAGCCUGAUCCAGCAAUGCCGCGUGUGUGAAGAAGGUCUUCGGAUUGUAAAGCACUUUAAGUUGGGAGGAAGGGAAGUAAGUUAAUACAUUGCUGUUUUGACGUUACCAACAGAAUAAGCACCGGCUAACUUCGUG
This 484-nucleotide ribosomal RNA is filed under the name uncultured bacterium. RNAcentral's name for it is "partial 16S ribosomal RNA". It matches the Rfam family "Bacterial small subunit ribosomal RNA", at positions 30 to 507 of the family's 1533-position model. The record is from RNAcentral.